Molecule: ribosomal RNA, 636 nt
Filed under: Pluteus granulatus
Lineage: Eukaryota; Fungi; Basidiomycota; Agaricomycetes; Agaricales; Pluteaceae
Description: eukaryotic LSU rRNA
Rfam family: 5.8S ribosomal RNA (bases 244-397)
Source: RNAcentral
AAGGUUUCCGUAGGUGAACCUGCGGAAGGAUCAUUAGUGAACAAACCGGUGUGGCUAAGUUGCUGGCCUCCUUGGAGGCAUGUGCACGGCCCGCCAUUGUUUCAUCCUUCUUCCACCUGUGCACUCCUGUAGGUCCACUCUGGUGCAUCCGUGCAUUGGAUUUUGGCGCCUACGUUAUACCAUCCACACCAUUGAAGUUCAGAAUGUAUGUAUUGGGCACUAGUUGCCUAUAAAACCUUAUACAACUUUCAACAACGGAUCUCUUGGCUCUCGCAUCGAUGAAGAACGCAGCGAAAUGCGAUAAGUAAUGUGAAUUGCAGAAUUCAGUGAAUCAUCGAAUCUUUGAACGCACCUUGCGCUCCUUGGCAUUCCGAGGAGCAUGCCUGUUUGAGUGUCAUUAAAUCAUCAACCACCUCACCUUCUGAUGAGGGGGUUGGACUUGGAGGUUUUGCUGGCCCCUCUUUGAGGGGACCGGCUCCUCUGAAAUGCAUUAGCAGGGGCUCAUCUUGUGCGAUCUGCGGCCUUGUGUGAUAAUAUCUACACCUGGCUUGGUCGUGCGUAUACCCAGCUUCCAGCCGUCCAUACUGUUGGACAAAUUCACCUGACCACUUGACCUCAAAUCAGGUAGGACUACCC